UACGUAGGGCGCAAGCGUUAUCCGGAAUUAUUGGGCGUAAAGAGCUCGUAGGCGGCUUGUCGCGUCGACCGUGAAAACUUGGGGCUCAACCCCAAGCCUGCGGUCGAUACGGGCAGGCUCGAGUUCGGUAGGGGAGACUGGAAUUCCUGGUGUAGCGGUGAAAUGCGCAGAUAUCAGGAGGAACACCGAUGGCGAAGGCAGGUCUCUGGGCCGAUACUGACGCUGAGGAGCGAAAGCGUGGGGAGCGAACAGG
Molecule: ribosomal RNA, 253 nt
Filed under: uncultured bacterium
Lineage: Bacteria
Description: partial 16S ribosomal RNA
Rfam family: Bacterial small subunit ribosomal RNA
Source: RNAcentral